ACGGGAGGCAGCAGUGAGGAAUAUUGGUCAAUGGGCGGAAGCCUGAACCAGCCAUGCCGCGUGCAGGAAUAAGGCCCUAUGGGUCGUAAACUGCUUUUGUAGUGGAGCAAUAAGGUCUACGCGUAGACUGAUGAGAGUACAUUACGAAUAAGCAUCGGCUAACUCCGUGCCAGCAGCCGCGGUAAUACGGAGGAUGCAAGCGUUAUCCGGAUUUAUUGGGUUUAAAGGGUGCGCAGGCGGCACGUUAAGUCAGCGGUGAAAUGCAGGGGCUCAACCCCGGCACUGCCGUUGGAACUGGCGAGCUCGAGUACGGAUGAAGUCGGCGGAAUGUGAUGUGUAGCGGUGAAAUGCUUAGAUAUGUCACAGAACACCGAUUGCGAAGGCAGCUGACUAAUCCGCAACUGACGCUCAGGCACGAAAGCGUGGGGAUCGAACAGGAUUAGAUACCCUGGUA
RNAcentral lists this ribosomal RNA (454 nucleotides) under uncultured bacterium. RNAcentral's name for it is "partial 16S ribosomal RNA". It matches the Rfam family "Bacterial small subunit ribosomal RNA", at positions 341 to 792 of the family's 1533-position model. The record is from RNAcentral.